Molecule: long non-coding RNA, 181 nt
Organism: Magallana angulata
Lineage: Eukaryota; Metazoa; Mollusca; Bivalvia; Ostreida; Ostreidae
Exons: 3
Source: RefSeq, a predicted model, not a curated record
UUUCUUUUCCAGAAGAGAUUAUCGCGAGAGAACCCCAAGAUGGCUAGAAAAAUUAUGCAUAUAAUUCUAGAUCAUCAUAAGAUAAAGACGAAGCUUCAUAGAGAGUUAUCGACAGCGGUCAAGGAGAGGAGUGUAGUGGAACAAAGGGAUGGCCCCGUGGAUGCUUUCUUUAAGUUAAAGG